Long non-coding RNA from Helianthus annuus (common sunflower), 1450 nucleotides. RefSeq lists it as uncharacterized. Lineage: Eukaryota; Viridiplantae; Streptophyta; Magnoliopsida; Asterales; Asteraceae. The transcript is spliced from 7 exons. The record is from RefSeq and is a predicted model, not a curated record.
UCAUAUUCACUUUCUCUCUGUGGUGUUCUAGGGUUUCUCUCCGGUUGUAUUUUGUAUUCUCUCAUCUGUUUGAGAGAUUUGUUGUACUUGUUGGUAUAGAUGAUCAUCAGUGGAUGAUCAUCAAGACUGGUUGUAUCGUUCCUUUUUGUAUUGAUCUUACGAUUGUAAGAUCUUAGGGUUUGGGGGGUACUUUUUGGUUUGGGUUAAAUAAGAUUUUGUCACCUUGUUUUUGUCGCUAUUUUGUGUUGUUCUUGUUGUUUCUGUUAUCCGAUCAUCAUAAUACCAUUAUUUCAACAACCCCAUAUUACAGUUUGCUACUGAGAAUUCCCAACACUUUGUUGAGUUUUUGUUAAUUAAGGUCUUAAUUUAUUUGAUUUAGAAUUUUUGAACAAGUCUUUUCUAAUGCAGUUGGUCCCAGUGUCAGUGGGAAGAGGAUCUAUUCUUCGUAUUUGGUAGGUUAGCAAAGCAGAUAUUUUCACCGGUUGUUAUUGUGGUCUAGCUUUAUCGAAACAGUCCCCAUGGAGAUUGGCCAGAAUCCAAUUGACAUUGACAAAACAAUAAAAAUUUUGGAGCCUGAUAAAACUAGUGGUAGCGGAUGGCAUUUGUCUGGAAAAGAAAGAGUCAUAUUCAGACAGCCUAGUCCUAAAAGGAAAGCCUUACUUGGUUAGUAGGUUCUACCAUUCAGGAUGGGUGUUGCCGGUGAUGCAAAUCAGCAAGACGAACUAAUAGUUAGCAGUGGCACAAUUAGCAUUUCAAGUGUUUACUUUCAAGGAUGAGUAUGUUAGUAAUCAUGUGGUUGAUCUUGGGAAACGAGCGAAUAGAAGACUGACAUCGCGCAUCGGCUACGAAGAAUCAUGAGAAUCCUUUUCCUAGUAAGUUGGCCAGUUUCAAGAUUUUAGCAAUGGAGAUAACUCGCGCGCAGCAACAACACUGAUUCAUUCUGCUGGUGUUUGAUGCUAAUCAAGAGUUUGUUUGAAGUUUAUGAAUUGUUCCUAGAACGCAAACAAAUUACCCAACACAAAGUUAAAAAGUUUCUUUGAUAUCAUAUGCAUAGCGUGUUGGCUAUGUUUCUGCCUUCGUAGCCUGCGCCGCAACGCACACGGGUAAAAUAUCUAGUUUCAACUAAUUUACAUGUUGAAGUUGAGAAAAACUAGUUGUUGGAAAUGCGCAAAAGGAUUGAAGAUGAUCAUUAAAGAAAAAAAAGUUGAGCUUGAAACUAUGCGAAAAGAGUUUGCCAGCCAGCAACCCCACUUAGAAGCUAUGAUGCACCAACCCAACUUGGAAGCUAUGAUGCAAAAGGUUAUGAAACAAGUAGUUGGAGAUCGAGAUUAGUAGAAUGUUUUCACUUUUUUAUUAUUGUACUUGACUGUAAAGUUAUUUAAGUUUCGACAAACAUGUUGAAGUACACACUUUGAUUAUCAAUGUUAUCUUUGUUAUUGUUUUCGUGUGA